Molecule: long non-coding RNA, 312 nt
Filed under: Capra hircus (goat)
Lineage: Eukaryota; Metazoa; Chordata; Mammalia; Artiodactyla; Bovidae
Description: lncRNA (ENSCHIG00000001762.1)
Source: RNAcentral
AUGAGAACUCUUGGGUGGAAUAAGUCACCAGUUAAAAUGAACUCGUUGCAAGCUUCACAUUAUCUCACUCUCCAGUCUUGCUUGAGUGAAUUCUUAUCUUCAGAUCAAGGUUGUUUUUCACUAGAAAUGAAUCAAAUUCAGGCACAGGACCAGCUAUCUGUCAGGAGGAGCAGCUCUUCCAGAGUAUCUUUCUAAAAUCCAGAUCCAAAGAUGUCGCUAAGAAUAAAGGUCUGGUUAGCAAGGAGGACAAGCUAGGAAGUCUACACCACGGAGACGGCCACAUUCCAGGUUUCCCCGUCAUCUCCCUCUCAC